CUAUAUUGUAUGUGUAUAUCCUGAGUGAAUCUGUAUGUUGGUAUACAUCUGUUAGCAGCAGUGACAGUAUUCAGCACAUUGUGUUCAUCAUUCUCCGGCCUCAAAAACUCUCGCACCGACACAACCAACGACAAAGUUUGCGUUAAAACUGUUAUUUUGUGACGUCCGUUUGUGUUCUUUGACGCAGCUGUCUGCCAGAAAAUACCAGAGUGCAAUGUGCUGAGUACCAUGGUUUGUGUGUGUGUGUGUGUGUGUGUGUGUAUUACACUGUGGAACCUUGAAAGCUGUUGUGAAAAUAUGAACUAAUAAAAAUUAAACCAGAAGAAAAUA
This is a long non-coding RNA of Eriocheir sinensis (Chinese mitten crab), 330 nucleotides long. RefSeq lists it as uncharacterized. The record is from RefSeq and is a predicted model, not a curated record. The transcript has 2 exons. NCBI's taxonomy places the organism in Eukaryota, Metazoa, Arthropoda, Malacostraca, Decapoda, Varunidae.